This 435-nucleotide ribosomal RNA is filed under the name uncultured bacterium. RNAcentral's name for it is "partial 16S ribosomal RNA". It matches the Rfam family "Bacterial small subunit ribosomal RNA", at positions 29 to 507 of the family's 1533-position model. The record is from RNAcentral.
AGCGAACGCUGGCGGCAGGCUUAACACAUGCAAGUCGAGCGGGCACCUUCGGGUGUCAGCGGCAGACGGGUGAGUAACACGUGGGAACGUACCCUUCGGUUCGGAAUAACGCUGGGAAACUAGCGCUAAUACCGGAUACGCCCUCAUGGGGAAAGGUUCACUGCCGAAGGAUCGGCGCGCGUCUGAUUAGCUAGGUGGUGGGGUAACGGCCUACCAAGGCGACGAUCAGUAGCUGGUCUGAGAGGAUGAUCAGCCACACUGGGACUGAGACACGGCCCAGACUCCUACGGGAGGCAGCAGUGGGGAAUAUUGGACAAGGGGCGCAAGCCUGAUACAGCCAUGCCGCGUGAGUGAUGAAGGCCUUAGGGUUGUAAAGCUCUUUUGUCCGGGACGAUAAUGACGGUACCGGAAGAAUAAGCCCCGGCUAACUUCGUG